This 681-nucleotide long non-coding RNA is filed under the name Homo sapiens (human). RNAcentral describes it as "HSALNT0351311". Lineage: Eukaryota; Metazoa; Chordata; Mammalia; Primates; Hominidae. The record is from RNAcentral.
AGUCAACUGGGGAGCUCAGUGAGAUUCUCCUGCUAUACUCUCAUCAGUUUUAAUUUGCCUAGGCCAUUCGGAUUUGGAAGAUUUCUGAGCAAGAUGGCUGAGUGCUGAAUUUAACAGCCAAGAUGAUUCUCCAAUCUCUGUGCUUAUGUCUGCACACAUCAGAGACUCUCCUUUACCUAGCCCUGUUUAUUCCUGAACACAAAGUAAUUAAUACUUCAAAGUGUUAGGUAGCCGGGUAUCCAUCGCUUGCCUUCACUCCUCUGUAAGCAUCAGGGACCACAAAACACAGGUUUUAUUUAUUGCUGUAGGUUCCACAACAUGUGGCAGAGGGUGUGCUCACAACAGGAGCUGGUGAACCACCUAACACUGUGAGUGUAGACAUUGGCACAGGUGUGGAUGAUAAACUCAGGUAAGGGUACAAAUACAGUCUUAAGGCAAUGUACAUUUGAGCCUUUGUUUUUAGAGGGACUGCUUGAUAGACUUUCCAGCAGACCUAUACAAACCCUAGCAGCUAAGGUGCAAGGAUGCAGCUCCCUAUGCCCUGGGUGUGGUGUCUGUAGUCAUACUUCACCAGGCAGCCCCUCUCCUCCCCUUCCCUGGUGCCUCUUUGGCUGCUCUGUCUCUCUUCCCUGGCUUUGAACUUGUUGGCAGCCUCCAAUAACCCCUCUUCAAAGAGCUGAA